Molecule: ribosomal RNA, 660 nt
Filed under: uncultured fungus
Lineage: Eukaryota; Fungi
Description: eukaryotic LSU rRNA
Rfam family: 5.8S ribosomal RNA (bases 270-423)
Source: RNAcentral
ACCUGCGGAAGGAUCAUUAUCGAAUAAACUUGAACAGGCUGUUGCUGGUCUUCCUUGAGGGGGACAUGUGCACGCUUGUCAUCUUUAUAUCUCCAACUGUGCACAUAUUGUAGACGUGGAGUCGUCUUUGUUGAUUCAUUUCGAGUUGGCACUGCAGCGCUCACAAAACCUGCUUUGCCUUUUGCAUUUCCAGGUCUAUGUCAUUUUCACAACCUCAAUGUGUUUAGAAUGUUGAAUCAGGUCAUACGUACCUAUAAAGUUAAAUAUACAACUUUCAGCAACGGAUCUCUUGGCUCUCGCAUCGAUGAAGAACGCAGCGAAAUGCGAUAAGUAAUGUGAAUUGCAGAAUUCAGUGAAUCAUCGAAUCUUUGAACGCAUCUUGCGCUCCUUGGUAUUCUGAGGAGCAUGCCUGUUUGAGUGUCAUUUCAAGUUCUCAACUGCAUCGAUUUAUUAUUGAUGUGGCUUGGAUGUGGGGGAUAUGUUUUUGCAGGCUUCUUUCUGUCAAAGGAGGUCGGCUCCCCUGAAAAAUAUUAGUGGUAUCUGAGCAGAAGAAACUACUACAGGUGUGAUAAUUAUGUAUGCCUUCAGUAUGCUGCAUAAAAAACAGAUUACACUGCUUCUAACGCGUGAAAACACUUCUAAAUUGAUGAAUUGACCUCA